This is a non-coding RNA of Paramuricea clavata, 77 nucleotides long. The record is from the annotation of a GenBank genome assembly. NCBI's taxonomy places the organism in Eukaryota, Metazoa, Cnidaria, Anthozoa, Malacalcyonacea, Plexauridae.
UGGGGGGGGGAUGAAGCAUUGUUUCUCUGUGUGUUUACAUGAGAAACAAUGCUUCAUCCCCCCCCAUAUUUAUUAUC